This is a long non-coding RNA of Ictidomys tridecemlineatus (thirteen-lined ground squirrel), 1886 nucleotides long. RefSeq lists it as uncharacterized. The record is from RefSeq and is a predicted model, not a curated record. Lineage: Eukaryota; Metazoa; Chordata; Mammalia; Rodentia; Sciuridae.
GUGGGGGUGGGGACAUAGCCCAGCGGUUAAGCAUCUCUGGGCUCAAUUUCUAGUUCAAAAAAAGGGGCAGAGAACAGUAUUGUAAAUCAGGAACUGGGUGGAGCAGAAGCAUAGAGACUUUCUCUAAAUAUUGCCUUAUUCUACACAUUUUAGUUGGGAACCAUGUGAAGUUCCAUUGUUAAUAAUAAAGCCAUACCUAAAAUAGAGAAACCGAAAUGACAGAGGGUGUAUCUAGGUGAACCACUGGGAAUAGAAAGUAUGAAUGGCCUACAACUUUAGCAUAUAAUUUCUAUUGUACAAAAAGAGAGAAAACAUAAAUAGUGGCUUUAUUGCUUGAAGUAAUAUUAGACAUUUUUAAACUAAUAUUUUAUGCACAAUGUAGGAUCAAACAAAGGCACUGUUAAUAUUAAGGAAGUAACAUUUUUAGUGCAAGGAGAAAAACGAUUCAAAGGUUAAAAAUGAAAAGAGCUGAAAAAAACUCAGAUUCAGAAUUCCAGCAUGAAUAAAAACACAGAGGGGCAGAGAGGGAAAUUCCAGAAGUGCACCUGGGUUAUCCUGCUGUGCCAGAUGGCAGGGAAGUCACCCCAGGCUGCCGGGAGGCGGCCCAAGCCCAGCUGGGAGGGUGUUCUGACCGCUCAGGCUCCAGUGAAUCCCUGCAAUUGAUGGAAACGCACCCGAAGAGAUAGACAGCCCCAGGGGGAAGAGCAAGCACGCAAAGGUCACUCUGGAGCAGGAAUGAAGCCUUUAUUUUGCCUUUCCAAUAGAAAGUGGGAUAGCCCUGAUCAGUGACAGCCCCACAGGGGGCUCAGUCCCCGGUACAGCGGAGGGGAGAGGGGAGUAUCAAGUGGGAUCAGGUCCGCCCUCUCCCAGAAAUCCUGCAGAAGUCGCAGAGCAACCCCCGCGGCACCUGCGUUGAAAGGAGCAGCCUCGGCAGUUGUCUGUCGUGCGCCGCGAAGGACGCAGGAUUUCAGGCGGAUCGCCGCGCGUCCCGAGGUCUACCCUGCACCGACGCCAGGGGGCGAUCUCACGAGCGCGGCUGUCGGGUGACCAGGUGACCCGUCACUGCGGCCGGUCAGUGCCCCUAACAAAGGGAGGAGACCUGGAGAUGACGAGGUGAAGGGAUCUGGACACUUGGGCGAGAACUCCUGGAGAACGCCUUGGAGAGUGUUUGCACUUGCUGGAAGAAAUCUCACGCUGAAAGAUAUUUUUGGUGAAAACCGUUGACAUUUGGAUUCUGAUCCUGCAUUAGAAGCGUUAUAAGUUAUUUUUCUUUUUUCAGGCACGAUAUUGACAUUGUGAAGACUUCGAUUUCUAGAGAUGCGUUAUUUUGGGUAUGUAGAAAAUUCUGCGUUGUAGGGUUUAUUUCCACAUUUUGUAUUUGUACUGUAUUUUUGUAUUUUUAGAAAAUUUCAAAAACUGAAAAAGGUCAGAAUAGAAACUACAAAAUACAGACAUCAAAUAUACGUCCAAGUGUAUAAUGUCUACAUACAGAGUUGGAUGAUAUCAAGAAUUGUCACUUUCACCAGGUUUGGAGGCACACACCUGUCAUCCCAGCAACUCAGGUGGCUGAGGCAAGAGGAUCUCAAGCUCAAGGCCAGCCUCAACAAUUUAGAGUUUUGACAGCUUUUAUUGAAAAGGAAAGCAAGGAACCAGGAGAUGGGUGAGCGUGGAAUGAAAGACGGAGACCAGGCAGAGCUACACAGGAGAGUUCAUUUGUCAGAGAUGACAUAUAAAGACCGUCUAACACCGGGGCUAACUGAAGUCUCCCUUGUUGCUCUCCGCUCAGAGACGGUGGUGCUCGCUCGCUCUCUUUCCCUGUGUGCUCCACCGAAGCCUCGCUUUGCUUUUACUUCACCUUCACCUAUAAUAAAGUCCUCUUGCCUGGC